This 211-nucleotide long non-coding RNA is filed under the name Lathyrus oleraceus (garden pea). RNAcentral's name for it is "Pisum sativum (pea) long non-coding RNA (PSAT_LNC005813)". Lineage: Eukaryota; Viridiplantae; Streptophyta; Magnoliopsida; Fabales; Fabaceae. The record is from RNAcentral.
AGAUUCUUGAUGAUACCAUCCAUCUGAGCCAUAUCAACUUCUCCCCUUAAUCACUUAUCUUCCCAAUACUUGCAGUUGUUCUUCAACUCUUGGUAAGCUUGAUCAUAAAUCCCAUUCUUCAUACUCUUGAUUUGUUCAUAAGCCCUUCCUAGCUGGAAUUGCUCAUGCAGAUACCCUCCGUAUACCUCCUCCUUCUCUAUCUUCUCACGAG